This is a long non-coding RNA of Takifugu rubripes (torafugu), 2464 nucleotides long. The record is from Ensembl. NCBI's taxonomy places the organism in Eukaryota, Metazoa, Chordata, Actinopteri, Tetraodontiformes, Tetraodontidae.
GUUCCGUAGAGAAAAACUACCGCGCGACAAAGGUUCCGACACCUCCUUCUGAAUGACUGGAAAACACAUGCUGCCCUCUAUUGGUACUUUCUCAGACAAUCACUGUCGGGUAAUCAACAAAAAGCACAACGUACUCUUUAAAGUGAUCCAUAGUUUGCUCAUAAUACAUUAUCAGAGUUAGGAAGACUCCAGGUGAGAUUUCCCCUGGGUCAACAUUCUCCAUGUGUCUUUGUUGAUUCUCUCACAGAACUCUGGAUUCUCCCACAGUCCGCAGAAAUGAAAGUAAGGGGAACAUGUCACCUAGGUGUGACUGAGAGCAUGAGAAGUUUUACUCUAGAUGUAUUACUAGCAACAGUUACUUUAAUAUAAUUAAAAAAUGAUUUUCUUGUUUUCUUAUGAUGCUUGAAUCUCUGUGUUCUUUUGUUAAAACUGCAAAAAAUCACAGCAAGGCAUAAAUACAUUUGUUAUUGCACAUGUAUCAAAUUACAAGGCUUAUUUACUGAGCCUGCAUGUGGUAAACUGUAGUUCCAGGUUCGCUGGUGCCACAUGACUACAGUCAUAUGAGCAAAACAAGUUUCGCUUUUACUUUGAGAAUGUCCAUGGCGGCUGAGUGAGGACAGCCAAUAACAGCAGAGGAAUGGUUGUGUCGUUUGUGGCGGCGCUGAUGGGAAUGACGGCUGGAGGUUUCGUUUUAAACCAAACAGCAGCGACGGCGGUGCAGCAGGUUCCCUCUCAGUGGUAUCUCAAAGUUCACGGCCUGGUCCAGGUAGCAGGUCUGGGCGGAAUAACAUGUCUGCUGGGGUGUCUCGGGCUCUGCCUGGCUUUCCUAUGCGCAGCUUGUGCUACUGCGGUGCCAACACUGCUGAGGGAGACGAGAAUCCCUUUCCUGAAGACGGCUUGCUGUGGUCUCACCAUAUUCCUGGGAUGUGGAAUAUCAGGAUCAUUGCUCGGGUGGACCUGUGCCAUGCUGGUGACCUUGGGCCUGAAAGGCUAUUGUGUCUUUGGUUUUAUCUUCAGCCUCAUCCUGCUGUUCAUAAACAAAUGGCGGAUAGUGGAAGCUCCAUCUAGGAUGCUGGUCCUGCACGCUGUGACGCUGGUCACGAUGUGCCUGGGGGUGUGGUCUGGACAGGCUAUGGAUAUUACAAAGCCCAGACUGGUUCUGGUCAACAUCCUCCUGGUCCCAGCAUCAUUUUUGAUGGGCUUGUUGGUCACCACCUUCAUUUUGAGGAAGCAGAACGGAUACAUCGUGCUCAGCUUUGUCUUUCUGGUCCCAUUGUCAGGACUGGUCUUUGGGCUUGGGACUGAGCGUCAUCAGGGGGACAAGCCUGUGUUGUACAACACCUUCUACACGAUACAAUUUUUAGUCUACGCAGCAGAGAUGCUGACUGGGAUCCUUGGCAUUCUAGGUGGGAUAUGUCUGAGCCUGUGGGAUCCAGGCCAGGCAGGGAGGCUGUCUUUCUGGAUCUCUAUCCCUGCUGCCGUCACCCUGUAUGUUCUGGAUAAGGACAAUCCACACACAGGUCUCCUGGGUGUCACUCAGCAGUGGGUGGGUGCAGGAGGGGUGCUGGGCCUAUUGUCCGGCCUGGCCGCAGCCUCUGGAGUUGCUCUGGGACUCGGCAUCAUGUCAGCAGGUCUGAAACUUGUGGCAGCUGACAACGACAUCCUCAGGUCGAUUAACCUCUGCCGUGCCGCAGAAGGUGGCGGCAGCAGUAACCCUUGUGCGUUGGGGAACGCCGUGGUGACUUUGGCUGUUCUUGGCGUGGUGAUGAUGGGCUCCACCGUCCUAGGAGUGGCCGGAUUCCUGACUGCUGCUUUGGGCUCCUCAGGACACCACGGGACAGUACUGGCAGGCACAAUAACAAUACUAAAAGCAAUUUCCUUGUUGUCAAACUCAAACGUGUGACGUGUUUAAUGCUUAAGAAAUGUAUCUUACAUCACCAACGAAGAAUCUGACAUGCAGAAAUGAUCUCUGGCAUUCACAAACCGCCCUCCUCAAAGAGUCACCACACAAUAUGAGGAGACACAACUGUCAAUCUUUUAUUAAAGAAUUCAUACAGAUUUAAGGAUUCCGAGGUCGCCUCCUGCUACAGGUUCUUUGUUCUAUCUCACAACUCAUCAGCAGAACGUUGCAGUAGAACCAGUUUAGCUCAGAAGUCAUUUUUAACUAUAAUGUUCACAUACCAAAUGCACCAAUCCAAAUGCACCAUCUUGGCAUUUCAACCUGACGAAGUAGUGUAGAUCAGACUGUGACUGUGGAUACGAGUGAUCUCGGAACACCAGAACCACUAGAUCUUCGCCUGGAUCCCAACCGCCGUCGGCAUCAGUGACAGUGAGAUCCUGUAGACCAAGACAGGUUGGACAGGAAGCUGCUGGUGGGCGUGUCCUGCGCUAAACCGGUUCACCUGAAGUCUCCGGCACGGCUGCAGCACCAGAAACGGCCCGUCUUCACUCCAGAGGAAGCAGA